UGUCACCUACAUAAACACUUUAAGGUUGGUUUUAUGACUGUAAGUCAUUGUCUUCAAAUGAUAUUGAGCUUUAUUAUGUAAUUAUAUAUUGUGUGUAUGAACAUACAGUAAGUGAAAUACAUUAAUAUUUACAUAUGAUUUGACAGUUCAUUUUAUUAAAUCUUAAAGGUGUGCAUCGUGCCUGACACCUACAUGAACUUAGUUGGUUUAUCACUAUAAGUCAUUCUCUUCAAAUGCUAUUGAAGUUGGAAUCUUGUAUCGUAUGACUUUGGAGACCGUCCCUAAAUUUCCGAAUUUCGAACGUCCAGCGUCGAGCCAAGUGUAUGCCAGUAUUUCACUGGGAAACGAUUAGCGUCAAACUUUGCGCGUUAUGUUCAUAUUGUGAGUGCAUCUGCUUGCCUGUAGCCUAAUAUAGUAGAGUUAGCAUCAACAAUAAGGUGUGAGUUUGGACUUUUAUUUCACUGUAGCCUACUCGUCCAUUAAUCGUUUACGGGGGGAAUCCUGGAGUAUGACAUAUGAGGGAAACCACUGUACUGCAUCACAGCGCUGCAAUAUAAAGCUAAGAAAACUAACAACCAAGAGAAAUAUAUGUCUUCCUCAGAUGUAAUAUUGAUAUGUACAUCAGCAUCGGGUGGGAAAAGUGUUAUAAUCUUGUUCGAGGUAGAGAAAGCUGCUUACAUGUAGUCUAUACACAAGUCUUCGUUAACAGCGACUUCUGGCACCUGCUGGUGAGGACGACUAACAGCAGAUGGAGAUCAUGCAUCGGCAAUCUACCAACAAUAACCAACUGCAGAACCGCAGAACCAUACGUCAUGACAGUCUGAGGACGACAGCGCCAGACUAACAGCCUGAGCCCGGAAGUGGGCGGAGUAACAGUCUCACGCCGGAUGUGGGCGCAGUUAGCGACAAACAAACAAACAAUGGCGGAAGAAGAGAACACGAGGCAUAUUAGUAUUGGGAGAUGCUCCGCUUUACUUCAUUUACAGCGAUGCAAGAUGUGCUGCAACAAUUUCCACUGCCCAGUGUUCUUAAACCGACCAGACGGCACAAUUUGAAUGCACACCUUCAAAUUCACUUCAAAAAGGCUGUUGUCCAUGGAGAAUGUUCCGUUGACCGGCUCUAUUGAGUGUGGGAUCUUCAUGUUAAUGGAGCCACGGAUCACAGAAGACUUCUGCGCUGCACUUAAACGGCUGCACAACAACCAAAAGUCUUCAAGCCUUUAGUAGAAGAGCUGUGCUUUCUGAUAUUGAAAGAGGAAGACCAGGAAAAACCCCUUUUUAACUUUCACAGGCUGAAACGGAUGAUGACAGACAACUGGCCAAAGAGCCUUUAGUGUUUUGCUUACAAAUUAAGGAUCAUAUGGACAUUUUUCUUAAUGAGUGUCUGGACAAAAAGAGUCUUGUAAUUAAUUGCAUGUUUAUGGAGAUUUGAUGUUUUUUUUUUGUUUUUUUUUAAGAUUUAAUUUGUCAUCAUGUACCUGCUGUUCAAUUUACACUCUUUGGUUUGAUUUUGUAAUUUUUUUAGAGCAAAGCGCAGCUAGCGGGAAAAGUACAUUUUAUUAAAAUUAAAUACCUUUUGUGUUUUGUUUUUGGGUUUGAUGGAUCUGAAUUUGCUUAAUUUAUGCAAUCUAGUGUACAACUGUGUAAUGUGUAUUAUAUAUUAUGAAAAACAAUGGUUCAUUCUGAAAUGCUUGAGUAAAAUACACAUUUUAUGACAAAUUAAUAAAUGUUUAUAAUUUUUUGUGUUUAA
Molecule: long non-coding RNA, 1749 nt
Organism: Ctenopharyngodon idella (grass carp)
Lineage: Eukaryota; Metazoa; Chordata; Actinopteri; Cypriniformes; Xenocyprididae
Exons: 4
Source: RefSeq, a predicted model, not a curated record